UUUUUUUUUUUUUUUUUUUUGUACAUUCAACGUACGACGAUUACACAUCUACUGAACCAGAAGAAGAUGAGAUGUAGAAAGGAUAAAUGUGAUCUGAUAAUUGGAGGACUAGUGUUAAUUGUGAGCAGUUGGGUAAUGGGAGUAAAAGGGUCGAUCCAUGAGUACAAGAAUGAAGCUUUUAUUCCUCGUUUUAAUUCAUUCUUCUUCCAUGGUGGUAGUGAAGGUCUUUAUGCUUCUAAGGUGCAAGAUUCUCCCCUUCCUCUUUCUGAUGACACCAAUAAUAAACCCCUUACUGGCAAGUCUUUCAUCAGGUUUGAGACAAUCACCUUUAGAAGAACAAAGGAGGCUGCAAAUAAGCAAAAUGAGAUGCAGCAGAGUACUGGAAUUGUUGAAGCCAUAAUAGUCGAGGUCAAAGACAGGAAUAUGAUUGGAGGAUCCUAUCUUAAUUCCGAGGCAAUAUGUUGCACCCCUGCUCUUGCCAAGGAUGGAUCCUGCAAGGUAGGAGAGGUUAUAAUCCAUCAAGAUUCUGAGAACCCUGGGUGGCCAAAGCGGAUUCAGACGUCCUUUGAAGGAAACAAUGAAGAGGCUAAUAUGGUACUCCAGACUGUCGAGAUCAACAAGACUGGAAUGUAUUAUCUCUAUUUUAUGUUCUGCAAUCCAGAACUCCAGGGGACAUUAAUUAGUGGUAGAAGUGUUUGGAGAAACCCAGAAGGCUAUCUACCUGGGAAGAUGGCACCACUAAUGACAUUUUAUGGUUUGAUGUCUCUAGCGUACCUCAUUCUUGGUCUCUUGUGGUUUUUACGUUUCGUACAACACUGGAAGGAUAUAAUACAGUUGCACUAUCACAUUACUGCCGUGAUAGGUCUUGGAAUGUGUGAAAUGGCUCUUUGGUAUUUUGAAUAUGCAAAUUUUAAUGCCACAGGUAGCAGGCCAAUGGGAAUUACCAUGUGGGCUGUUACCUUCAGUGCUAUAAAGAAGACCGUCUCACGUUUACUUCUUCUAGUCGUUUCAAUGGGUUAUGGUGUUGUACGGCCCACACUGGGCGGUAUAACCUCAAAGGUACUUCUUCUGGGUGUGGUAUACUUUCUAGCUUCUGAAGCCUUGGAGCUGGUUGAACAUUUGGGAAAUAUCAACGACUUCUCCGGAAAAGCGAGAAUCUUUUUGGUGUUACCUGUUGCUUUAUUAGAUUCCUGCUUCAUUGUAUGGAUAUUUUCCUCAUUAUCCAAAACUUUAGAGAAGCUUCAGAUUCGUAGAAGCGUGGCCAAGCUUGAACUGUACCGAAAGUUUACCAAUUCUUUAGCAGUUUCAGUUCUGCUCUCUGUUGCUUGGAUUGGCUAUGAGUUGUACUUUAAUGCAAGUGAUCCAUUGAGUGAAUUGUGGCAAAGAGCCUGGAUUAUCCCUGCUUUCUGGACCAUACUAGCAUACUUGCUUUUAACGGUGAUAUGCAUUCUCUGGGCUCCUUCGAAUAACCCAACCAGAUACGCAUAUUCAGGGGAGACUCUUGAUGAUGAUGAGGAGGGUCUGUCCCUCACAGGCAGUGGAGUAAUAGUGGGAGGAGAUCUUGUGUCUAAACUGGAAAGGAAGGAGAGGAAGGCAUCUAUUGCAGCAGAUCAUGUGUUUGGGCUAGGAGAAGUUGUUGAGGAGGAUAAAAGAGAAUGAUGCCAUUCAUUUCGGGUUGUUCUUUCACUCGUUCAUUCAGGGACACAGAAGUUUGCCCAAAUAAUAUUUAUACCUCCUUUUCUUUUCCUGUUUUUCGUAAAAGACCAGACUGAAAUACAUGGCGGUUGGAAAUUAGCAAGUCGGAUCGGAGAUCCAAACAACAUUGCAGGGAAGAUUGGCAUCUCUCUGAAGCUUCUUGUCUGAAGAAUAGCCAGAGAAAGCCAGCAGGUGAGCUUGGCAUUGAAGUCCAGUUCUCAGAGGCAAUCACAAUUUUAGGCUUAGUAAUUGAAACUUCAUACGUGAUGUGAAGUCGAUUAGGCUCCAUGCUAAUUUAGAGGAUGCAAAAGACCCUUGUGGCUUGAGGUACUCGUUGCUGCAGCUCUUGGUAUACCAAUCUGAUGAGCCUUAUAUGCAUAACCAAGAAGGGGAAAAGGAAGCAAAAAGAGCCUGCAAGAAAAAAGAAAAAGAAAUGGUAAACUUAGUUUAAGCUAAAGCAUCAUAUCAUCAGUCUGCCUCAUGUUUGGUUUGAUGAUGAUAUAAUAACCAAGCUGAAUUUUAUAAAGAGUAGUAAGAUGGAUAUUGUGAAAAGUACCUAAGAAUAGGAAGAUCAAAUAAACUCUCGUGUGCAACAGAGUGUUCAAAUAUGUAUGGAGGAGAGAAUGAAACCUGAAAGUCUGAUCAUCUGAAAUGCCUAGAUGAAAAUAUGCUAAGAUGAAUCAUGAAUGCAUGAAAAAGUCUCACUUGGUCA
RNA transcript from Nicotiana tabacum (common tobacco), 2407 nucleotides. RefSeq lists it as uncharacterized. The record is from RefSeq and is a predicted model, not a curated record. Lineage: Eukaryota; Viridiplantae; Streptophyta; Magnoliopsida; Solanales; Solanaceae.